RNAcentral lists this ribosomal RNA (199 nucleotides) under uncultured bacterium. Its description in RNAcentral is "partial 16S ribosomal RNA". It matches the Rfam family "Bacterial small subunit ribosomal RNA", at positions 328 to 539 of the family's 1533-position model. The record is from RNAcentral.
ACGCUCGACACCUACGGGGGGCAGCAGUGGGGGAUAUUGCACAAUGGGGGGAACCCGUGAUGCAGCGACGCCGCGUGAGGGAAGAAGGUUUUCGGAUUGUAAACCUCUGUCCUCAGGGAAGAAGAUGACGGUACCUGAGGAGGAAGCCACGGCUAACUACGUGCCAGCAGCCGCGGUAAUCUGAGCGGGCUGGCAAGGC